AAAUCCGUUCUCGAGAGAAUCACUUCUCCGCAGAAGCAGCCACCAGACGCCGAUUCUGAAUCUGACGCAUCGAUUCCUGGUCCGCUUCACGACGGCGGCCCCGUUGAGUACUCCCUUGCGGAGUCUGAAUCCAUCCUCAGUCCUCUGAUUAACGCGUGUAGCACCGGCUUCCUCAAGAUCGUUGAUCCAGCCGUUGAUUGCAUCCAGAAAUUAAUCGCCCACGGUUACUUACGCGGCGAGGCAGACACCAGCGGAAGCACCGAGGCGCAACUCUUGUCGAAAUUAAUUGAAGCCGUUUGUAAAUGUUACGAUAUUGGUGACGAGGCCAUUGAGCUCUCGGUGCUUAAGACGCUUCUAUCGGCUGUUACAUCAAUUUCGUUGAGGAUUCAUGGUGAUUGCUUGUUGCUGAUAGUGAGGACUUGUUACGAUAUCUAUUUAGGGAGCAAAAAUGUAGUAAACCAGACGACGGCAAAAGCAUCGUUGAUCCAAAUGUUGGUGAUUGUUUUUCGGAGAAUGGAGGCAGAUUCAUCAACAGUGCCGAUUCAACCGAUUGUUGUUGCUGAAUU
This 566-nucleotide unclassified non-coding RNA is filed under the name Hevea brasiliensis (rubber tree). The record is from RNAcentral. Lineage: Eukaryota; Viridiplantae; Streptophyta; Magnoliopsida; Malpighiales; Euphorbiaceae.